RNAcentral lists this ribosomal RNA (330 nucleotides) under uncultured bacterium. RNAcentral's name for it is "bacterial SSU rRNA". It matches the Rfam family "Bacterial small subunit ribosomal RNA", at positions 568 to 898 of the family's 1533-position model. The record is from RNAcentral.
CGCGUAGGUGGUAGUGUAAGUCUGAGGUGGAAUCCCAGGGCUUAACCCUGGAACUGCCUUGGAAACUGCAUUACUUGAGUCAGUGAGGGGAGGGUAGAAUUCCUGGUGUAGCGGUGAAAUGCGUAGAUAUCAGGAGGAAGGCCUGUGGCGAAGGCGGCCCUCUGGUGCUGGACUGACACUGAGGCGCGAAAGCGUGGGAGCAAACAGGAUUAGAUACCCUGGUAGUCCACGCCCUAAACGGUGGGCACUAGGUGUAGGGCUCGUAAGGGUUCUGUGCCGAAGGGAAACCAUUAAGUGCCCCGCCGUGGGGAGUACGGCCGCAAGGUUGAA